AUUGAACGCUGGCGGCAUGCCUUACACAUGCAAGUCGAACGGCAGCGGGGGAGAAGCUUGCUUUUCCUGCCGGCGAGUGGCGAACGGGUGAGUAAUACGUCGGAACGUGCCCUGUAGUGGGGGAUAACUAGUCGAAAGAUUAGCUAAUACCGCAUACGACCUGAGGGUGAAAGUGGGGGACCGCAAGGCCUCAUGCUAUAGGAGCGGCCGAUGUCUGAUUAGCUAGUUGGUGGGGUAAAGGCCUACCAAGGCGACGAUCAGUAGCUGGGCUGAGAGGACGAUCAGCCACACUGGGACUGAGACACGGCCCAGACUCCUACGGGAGGCAGCAGUGGGGAAUUUUGGACAAUGGGCGAAAGCCUGAUCCAGCAAUGCCGCGUGUGUGAAGAAGGCCUUCGGGUUGUAAAGCACUUUUGUCCGGAAAGAAAUGGCUCUGGUUAAUACCUGGGGUCGAUGACGGUACCGGAAGAAUAAGGACCGGCUAACUACGUGCCAGCCGCCGCCGUAA
Molecule: ribosomal RNA, 508 nt
Filed under: uncultured bacterium
Lineage: Bacteria
Description: partial 16S ribosomal RNA
Rfam family: Bacterial small subunit ribosomal RNA
Source: RNAcentral